This is a non-coding RNA of Apodospora peruviana, 106 nucleotides long. NCBI's taxonomy places the organism in Eukaryota, Fungi, Ascomycota, Sordariomycetes, Sordariales, Lasiosphaeriaceae. The record is from the annotation of a GenBank genome assembly.
GGGACCUUGGCGCAGUUGGUCAGCGCAUCUGUCUCAUACCGUAGGUAUGAUCUAGUUAAACACCAGGGUAAUCAGGAGGUCGUGAGUUCGAGCCUCACAGGUCCCA